GGGAGCAUAGCUCAGUUGGUUCAGAGCAUCUGCCUUACAAGCAGAGGGUCAUAGGUUCGAAUCCUAUUGCUCCCA
This 75-nucleotide transfer RNA is filed under the name Pseudomonadota bacterium. Its description in RNAcentral is "tRNA-Val". It matches the Rfam family "tRNA". Rfam says of the family: Transfer RNA (tRNA) molecules are approximately 80 nucleotides in length. Their secondary structure includes four short double-helical elements and three loops (D, anti-codon, and T loops). The record is from RNAcentral. RNAcentral also lists the same sequence under 1 other name. Lineage: Bacteria; Pseudomonadati; Pseudomonadota.